This 271-nucleotide ribosomal RNA is filed under the name uncultured bacterium. Its description in RNAcentral is "partial 16S ribosomal RNA". It matches the Rfam family "Bacterial small subunit ribosomal RNA", at positions 73 to 339 of the family's 1533-position model. The record is from RNAcentral.
ACGAGUACUUGACUUGGUGGCGACCGGCGCACGGGUGCGUAACGCGUAUGCAAACCUACCUUAUACUGAGGGAUAGCCCAGAGAAAUUUGGAUUAAUACCUCAUAGUAUCAUUUGAAGGCAUCUGAGAAUGAUUUAAAGAUUUUAUCGGGUAUAAGAUGGGCAUGCGUAAGAUUAGUUAGUUGGUGAGGUAACGGCUCACCAAGACUUCGAUCUUUAGGGGUUCUGAGAGGAUGAUCCCCCACACUGGUACUGAGAUACGGACCAGACUUC